CUUGGCCCAUUGGUUGACCAAGGGUUGAUUAAUGCUUCUACACCAAGAGGUCUGGGGUUCGAGUCCCAGAUAUUGCGAUUUAUUAACAAAUUUGCAGAUUAAUGGAGGCAUCAAGAUCACGAAGAAGGAAGUGUAGUCUGUCGUGAAUCUAGUAAGGGUCAGAAAAAAUUGUCAGUUGUAAAAUUGUCUAUGUAACAGUUCUCAUAAUUUGCAAUUAAUAAUAAAUCUAGACGACAAAAAAAAAAA
Molecule: long non-coding RNA, 246 nt
Filed under: Arabidopsis lyrata
Lineage: Eukaryota; Viridiplantae; Streptophyta; Magnoliopsida; Brassicales; Brassicaceae
Description: long non-coding RNA (ALYR_LNC001385)
Source: RNAcentral